Molecule: unclassified non-coding RNA, 148 nt
Filed under: Verrucaria hunsrueckensis
Lineage: Eukaryota; Fungi; Ascomycota; Eurotiomycetes; Verrucariales; Verrucariaceae
Description: partial internal transcribed spaces 2
Source: RNAcentral
AUCAACCCUCAAGCCUGGCUUGCCGUUGGGUCUCAUCGUUGAAACAUCCGGUGGAUCCAAAAGAUAUUGGCAGAGUCCGUGGGGACCCUAGAUGCAGCGAGCUCUUUAGCACGCGUCUGGACGGUCUCCCGGCUCGGUCUACCAAAAU